UACGGAGGGCGCGAGCGUUGUCCGGAAUCACUGGGCGUAAAGGGCGCGUAGGCGGCCCUGGUAAGUCUGCGGUGAAAGCCCGGGGCUCAACCCCGGGUCGGCCGCGGGUACUGCCGGGCUGGAGUGCCGUAGGGGCAGGCGGAAUUCCGGGUGUAGCGGUGGAAUGCGUAGAGAUCCGGAAGAACACCGGUGGCGAAGGCGGCCUGCUGGGCGGCGACUGACGCUGAGGCGCGAAAGCGUGGGGAGCAAACAGG
This 254-nucleotide ribosomal RNA is filed under the name uncultured bacterium. Its description in RNAcentral is "partial 16S ribosomal RNA". It matches the Rfam family "Bacterial small subunit ribosomal RNA", at positions 524 to 776 of the family's 1533-position model. The record is from RNAcentral.